RNAcentral lists this ribosomal RNA (461 nucleotides) under uncultured bacterium. RNAcentral describes it as "partial 16S ribosomal RNA". It matches the Rfam family "Bacterial small subunit ribosomal RNA", at positions 28 to 507 of the family's 1533-position model. The record is from RNAcentral.
GACGAACGCUGGCGGCGUGCUUAACACAUGCAAGUCGAACGGUGAAGCCCUUCGGGGUGGAUCAGUGGCGAACGGGUGAGUAACACGUGAGCAACCUGCCCCUGGCUCUGGGACAACCACUGGAAACGGUGGCUAAUACCGGAUACGACCCGCCUCGGCAUCGAGUGUGGGUGGAAAGUUUUUCGGCUGGGGAUGGGCUCGCGGCCUAUCAGCUUGUUGGUGAGGUGAAGGCUCACCAAGGCGACGACGGGUAGCCGGCCUGAGAGGGCGACCGGCCACACUGGGACUGAGACACGGCCAGACUCCUACGGGAGGCAGCAGUGGGGAAUAUUGCACAAUGGGCGAAAGCCUGAUGCAGCGACGCCGCGUGAGGGAUGACGGCCUUCGGGUUGUAAACCUCUUUCAGCUCCGAAGAAGCGAAAGUGACGGUAGGAGCAGAAGAAGCACCGGCUAACUACGUG